GCGCGAAAACUUUGCAAUGCGGGAAACCGUGACAAGGGAACUCUGAGUGCCCGUUAAAUCGGGCUGUCCAUCGGUUUAAAUAACCGGUGAAGAAAGGGCCGGGCAAGACCGGUGCCAGCCGCCGCGGUAAUACCGGCGGCUCGAGUGGUGGCCACUAUUACUGGGCUUAAAGCGUUCGUAGCUGGUUUGUUAAGUCUCUGGGGAAAUCUUCCGGCUUAACCGGAAGGCGUUUCAGGGAUACUGGCAGACUAGGGACCGGGAGAGGUGAGAGGUACUCCAGGGGUAGGAGUGAAAUCCUGUAAUCCUUGGGGGACCACCUGUGGCGAAGGCGUCUCACCAGAACGGCUCCGACAGUGAGGGACGAAAGCUGGGGGAGCAAACCGGAUUAGAAACCCUAGUA
This 400-nucleotide ribosomal RNA is filed under the name uncultured bacterium. Its description in RNAcentral is "bacterial SSU rRNA". It matches the Rfam family "Archaeal small subunit ribosomal RNA", at positions 339 to 743 of the family's 1478-position model. The record is from RNAcentral.